ACGGAUAUCUCGGCUCAUGCAUCGAUGAAGAACGUAGCAAAAUGCGAUACUUGGUGUGAAUUGCAGAAUCCCGUGAACCAUCGAGUUUUUGAACGCAAGUUGCGCCCGAAGCCUUUUGGUUGAGGGCACGUCUGCCUGGGCGUCACAUAUGGCGUUGCCUCCCAU
RNAcentral lists this ribosomal RNA (165 nucleotides) under Erechtites hieraciifolius. Its description in RNAcentral is "5.8S ribosomal RNA". The stretch from base 1 to 145 matches the Rfam family "5.8S ribosomal RNA". From Rfam's summary of the family: 5.8S ribosomal RNA (5.8S rRNA) is a component of the large subunit of the eukaryotic ribosome. It is transcribed by RNA polymerase I as part of the 45S precursor that also contains 18S and 28S rRNA. Functionally, it is thought that 5.8S rRNA may be involved in ribosome translocation. The record is from RNAcentral. Lineage: Eukaryota; Viridiplantae; Streptophyta; Magnoliopsida; Asterales; Asteraceae.